Molecule: ribosomal RNA, 437 nt
Filed under: uncultured Oscillospiraceae bacterium
Lineage: Bacteria; Bacillati; Bacillota; Clostridia; Eubacteriales; Oscillospiraceae
Description: partial 16S ribosomal RNA
Rfam family: Bacterial small subunit ribosomal RNA
Source: RNAcentral
ACGGAAGGCAGCAGUGGGGAAUAUUGGGCAAUGGGCGAAAGCCUGACCCAGCGACGCCGCGUGAGGGAAGAAGGUCUUCGGAUUGUAAACCUCUUUCAGCAGGGAAGAAGCAAGUGACGGUACCUGCAGAAGAAGUCACGGCUAACUACGUGCCAGCAGCCGCGGUAAUACGUAGGUGGCGAGCGUUAUCCGGAAUUACUGGGUGUAAAGGGUGUGUAGGCGGAGAAGCAAGUCAGGCGUGAAAUUUCCGGGCUCAACCCGGAAACUGCGUUUGAAACUGUUUCCCUUGAGAGUGGGAGAGGUAAACGGAAUUCCUGGUGUAGUAGUGAAAUGCGUAGAUACCAGGAGGAACACCGGUGGCGAAGGCGGUUUACUGGACCACAACUGACGCUGAGACACGAAAGCGUGGGGAGCAAACAGGAUUAGAUACCCUGGUA